RNAcentral lists this ribosomal RNA (996 nucleotides) under uncultured eukaryote. Its description in RNAcentral is "SSU rRNA". It matches the Rfam family "Eukaryotic small subunit ribosomal RNA", at positions 626 to 1647 of the family's 1831-position model. The record is from RNAcentral.
GCUCGUAGUUGGAUUUCUGUUGAGGACGACCGGUCCGUACCAUGUACGCGCAUCUGGUUCGGCCUCGGCAUCCUCUCGAUAGACGUUUCUGCGCUUGAUUGCGUGGAGCGGAUCUCGGGACUUUUACUUUGAGGAAAUUAGAGUGUUCACGGCAGGCUAUCGCCAGAAUACAUUAGCAUGGAAUAAUAUUAUAGGAUCUCGGUUCUAUUUUGUUGGUUUCUAGACCCGGGGUAAUGAUUAAUAGGGACAAUUGGGGGCAUUUGUAUCAACACGUCAGAGGUGGAAUUCUUGGAUUGUGUUGCGACAAACUACUGCGAAAGCAUUUGCCAAGGAUGUUUUCAUUGAUCAAGAACGAAAGUAAGGGGAUCGAAGACGAUUAGAUACCGUCGUAGUCUUUACCAUAAACUAUGCCGACUAGAGAUGGGGCAUCGUUCACUUACGACUUGCUCCGCAUCUUAUGAGAUAUCAAAGUCUUUGGGUUCCGGGGGGAGUAUGGUCGCAAGUCUGAAACUUAAAGGAAUUGACGGAAGGGCACCACCAGGAGUGGAGCCUGCGGCUUAAUUUGACUCAACACGGGGAAACUCACCAGGUCCAGACAUAAUAAGGAUUGACAGAUUGAUAGCUCUUUCUUGAUUUUAUGGGUGGUGGUGCAUGGCCGUUCUUAGUUCGUGGAGUGAUUUGUCUGCUUAAUUGCGUUAACGAACGAGACCUUAACCUGCUAAAUAGGAGCGCAUAUCUUCGGAUAAGCGCCUUUCUUCUUAGAGGGACUGCAUGCGUUUCAGUAUGCGGAAGUUUGAGGCUAAAACAGGUCUGUGAUGCCCUUAGAUGUUCUGGGCUGCACGCGCGCUACACUGAUGCGUUCAACGAGUGUACAACCUUGCCCGAUAGGGUUGGGUAACCUUUUGAACACGCAUCGUGAUGGGGAUUGAGUAUUGCAAUUAUUACUCAUCAACGAGGAAUUCCUAGUAAUGAUGAAUCAUCAGUUCAUCGUGAUUA